Long non-coding RNA from Lycium barbarum (goji berry), 1652 nucleotides. RefSeq lists it as uncharacterized. The transcript is spliced from 8 exons. NCBI's taxonomy places the organism in Eukaryota, Viridiplantae, Streptophyta, Magnoliopsida, Solanales, Solanaceae. The record is from RefSeq and is a predicted model, not a curated record.
AAUUCACUACUGGAUUUCUGGUGUAAUUUUCGUAAAAAUUACGAUUUUAUGCCUAACUUCACCCUUAGAAAUUCAGCAUUCUUUCCAAAACUUGAAAACAUCAUAUCUCUCUCAUUUUAAGGCCAAAUUAGGGGAUUCAAAAGGCUAUCUUGGGUGGAAUUUCACAAGGAUUUUAUUGGACUGGUCGAAAGUGAGCUUCGUGAUCAAUUAGCACUUGAUUUGGACCGAAACAGCUGCGGCAUUUUCUUUUCUCCACUUGUUCGGGAUUUUGUUACAUUUCUUACAAGUUUGGGAGUUUCGAUUGAGGUGAUUUUUUUUGGUGUUGUUCUCGUCUCAACAAGGGAACGUUAAUCGUUCUGAGGCUCUCCGAAGUGGAAAGGCAAGGCUCAACUAGAUUUGUUCGUGGCUCCAGCUCAGUAGCGAGAUUGUAUGUUGGGAAGGGAAGCGUUCGCCUACUGGGGGGAGUGAGUGGGUGCCCGCACGACUAGUGAUUUGGGUCGUGACAUGAUCGAACCUGUUUUCCACAUGAAUCCUCUUCAUGGAUUUUCACAAUUGAGUCAAUGAAUCACAAAGUUCGGUCAAGAUUCUCCACAAACUGAGCUGUUGGAGGAGCCUCAUCACCGUACCUGAGGUAUUUGGGUUUAAUCUAGUCCCAGAUAAUUACAUUCGCCAUUGACAAUAUUUUUGAUGUAGCAUACUCGAUGUGGGUGAUAUCCAACACCUGCUCAAGCACCAAAUCUUCAAUGAGCUUAAGAAAAAAUGUGCAUGGCUUCCCCACCAUGACAGGCUACUAACUUUGAAAAGAAAGCAAGGUGUAUACUAGCCGACUUAUUUUCAGCCUUUCGUAGGAGAGGAAAAACAAAUAAGGAAGAAACUAACUCAAGAUAUGUUAUUCAAAGCCAUUUAAAUGGGCAAGCAGAAAAUCGACACAGAUCCGGAUAGGUGGGUUGUGUCACGCGAUGAGGUUACCUAUGGUUAAUAUCAAAGCUCCUCGAAGAAACUCCAUUGGAGUUAGUUGGCUAUGACCAAGGUGCCAACACAAAUUACAGACAAGGAUUUUUAGAAGUUUUGGUUGAAUGUUGUUCGUGGCCGAUGAAAGGGGAGAACAUACGACCUUUAUGCAGUGGAUAUUUCACCGCUAUCAGUCUAGGUUGCAAGGCAUUGUUACUUCCUCAAAGGCCAACAAAUGUAUAGGGUGACGAUGAUAGCUAUAGAGAAGAAGAUCAUUGAACUAUCUAGCCAACUUAAAUUAUCAAAGGUCAACUAGAGGUGUGGGGAUCAACAAUAUGAAGGUCUCAAGGUUCAAUUAGAAGCUUUGCUAAAGUGGGAAGUUUCUGAUCCACCUUUGUGCUAAUGAUGCUAUCCCUGACCUUGGCCUUCACGUGAUCGUCUUGUCCAUGAUUGUUCUGUCACCGCUCGUCCUGUCCACGAUCUCAUGGAUGAGGCUUGUUCUAGUCGUUCAGAUGAGGAUGUGGUGGCAAACAAUGCUUGAUUUAACUUAGAUACAUGUUUAGAUUUUUAAAUACUUUGUUUAAGUUUUUAUGACUUUUACAUUUAGAUGCCUUAUAUGACUUUUCUAAUUUUUUUAUGACUUGUGGUGGGUUUUGAUUGAUAAUUGAUGGAGUUUUGGGUUGGACUUCUUGUUGUUUGGA